CUACAUAUCAAUAAGCGGAGGAAAAGAAACCAACAGGGAUUGCCCUAGUAACGGCGAGUGAAGCGGCAACAGCUCAAAUUUGAAAUCUGGCUCUUUUAGGGUCCGAGUUGUAAUUUGCAGAGGGCGCUUUGGCGUUGGCAGCGGUCCAAGUUCUUUGGAACAGGACGUCGCAGAGGGUGAGAAUCCCGUACGUGGUCGCUAGCCUUCGCCGUGUAAAGCCCCUUCGACGAGUCGAGUUGUUUGGGAAUGCAGCUCUAAAUGGGAGGUAAAUUUCUUCUAAAGCUAAAUACUGGCCAGAGACCGAUAGCGCACAAGUAGAGUGAUCGAAAGAUGAAAAGCACUUUGGAAAGAGAGUCAAAUAGCACGUGAAAUUGUUGAAAGGGAAGCGCUUGCAGCCAGACUUGCCUGUAGUUGCUUAUCCGGACUUUUGUCCGGUGCACUCUUCUGCGGGCAGGCCAGCAUCAGUCUAGGCGGUUGGAUAAAGGUCUCUGUCAUGUACCUCUCUUCGGGGAGGCCUUAUAGGGGAGACGACAUGCAACCAGCCUGGACUGAGGUCCGCGCAUCUGCUAGGAUGCUGGCGUAAUGGCUGUAAGCGGCCCGUCUUGAAACACGGACCAAGGAGUCUAACAUCUAUGCGAGUGUUUGGGUGUCAAGCCCAGACGCGUAAUGAAAGUGAACGGAGGUGGGAACCCUUUGGGUGCACCAUCGACCGAUCCUGAUGUCUUCGGAUGGAUUUGAGUAAGAGCAUGGCUGUUGGGACCCGAAAGAUGGUGAACUAUGCUUGAAUAGGGUGAAGCCAGAGGAAACUCUGGUGGAGGCUCGCAGCGGUUCUGACGUGCAAAUCGAUCGUCAAAUUUGGGCAUAGGGGCGAAAGACUAAUCGAACUAUCUAGUAGCUGGUUCCUGCCGAAGUUUCCCUCAGGAUAGCAGUAACGUAUUCAGUUUUAUGAGGUAAAGCGAAUGAUUAGAGGCCUGGGGGUUGAAACAACCUUCACCUAUUCUCAAACUUUAAAUAUGUAAGAAGUCCUUGUUACUUGAUUGAACGUGGACACUUGAAUGUACCGUUACUAGUGGGCCAUUUUUGGUAAGCAGAACUGGCGAUGCGGGAUGAACCGAACGCGGGGUUAA
This 1127-nucleotide ribosomal RNA is filed under the name Neosetophoma hnaniceana. RNAcentral describes it as "partial large subunit ribosomal RNA". It matches the Rfam family "Eukaryotic large subunit ribosomal RNA", at positions 34 to 1183 of the family's 3401-position model. The record is from RNAcentral. Lineage: Eukaryota; Fungi; Ascomycota; Dothideomycetes; Pleosporales; Phaeosphaeriaceae.